UAAGCCCCUCACAGCUUAUUGCAGGUCUUAUUCACGUCAACUUCAUUUAUUUUUCUUUUGUCUUCUCAGUGUUUAUAUUGCCCACUUUUUCUAAUGCACGCAUAAAUGGACGCAGAGCGAAUAGCUACUGUUGAUUUCAUAACAUUUAGUGAUUGAUAUACGCAUUUCAAUCCAGGCGACAGAUUUAUUAAGAAAAAAAUCCGUCAUAUUGGCAUUUUUCAUAAAGCUUCCUUUUCAAUAACCCAUCUUUUGUUUUUGUGUUAGCUUCACAUUUGAUUCUGCCAUGCAACAAACACAAGAAUGCUGUUCUUUUUGCAUUAAUUGAGCCAAAAUCAUCAAUUUCAGAAUUGGAUUGUUGACUGUGUCCAGCUUAUCAUUUUGGGAUAUGUUGGUCAUCGUAGCAUAGUAGCUCCUUCAACUGGAUCAGAAUUUAAGGAACAUUCGGAAAAACUUUGAACUUUGAAGAUCUGGCGGUUGACUGAUUCUCUUCUUCGACAGCAUGUUUGCAUUGUAAUUCUUGUUAUUUUUUAUGAGGUUGUGAAUUCAUUUUGCCAGAUCUUAGUAAGAAACGUUAUUCAUCAUCUUUGUCUUGCAUAUAGACAUAUCCUAAACUCUUUUCCCCCUGUAAAAAUGCACAGUAGUGUGUUGUCUUAAGGAGCUAUAUGCGUAGUUUAGAGACAUAACAAUGUGCCUGAUCAACAAAUGUUUUGGUACUUACGUUUUUUAUGAUUGAUUUCUUACGUACCUGACUUUGAUGCUGGCAAUGUGGAGGUGACUGAAAGAAUGUCAACUAAAUUAACUUAGGUGAAGUGACAUUGAUGAUGAAGUAUUUCCUAUCUUAAGUUCUUACCAAGUUAACAUUUUCCGGAAUUCACAUGUUUUUUCAAUCUCAACUUCCAAAUUUAUCUUUUUAGGGAAAGUUUGCCAAGCUAGAACUUGUGUAAGCGUCCUUUACAUGUGUUAUGGAUUUUUUACAGAAACAGAACACAGAGAGAAAAUAGAGAAAAUUCAUGGGGGAGAAGAACACAU
RNAcentral lists this unclassified non-coding RNA (1029 nucleotides) under Hevea brasiliensis (rubber tree). Lineage: Eukaryota; Viridiplantae; Streptophyta; Magnoliopsida; Malpighiales; Euphorbiaceae. The record is from RNAcentral.